UCCCUGAGGGAGCACCGCGGGGCACCCAGGGGUGUCACUGCCAUCCUAGCUUAGUGUCUAGUAAGGACGUCUGUCUUUUGAAUACUCCUGUGAUGUUUGAAGAGCCGCUAUAGGUCUCUUGCAUGUUCCCCAGUCAUGUAUUUGUGGUUUUUAUUUUGAACUCUGAGCUUUUAGGGGAGAAACAUCAUCCCACCCCCUUCCCCCCAAGCCUGCACCCCCAGGGAGGAGAGGGGUGGGACAACAGAAAAAAGUAUGGAUUUAUUUUCUCGCUCCUUCUUGCAUUUCUGCAGCCUUUAGCACAGUAUCUUCAGUCCCCUCCUUCCCACUGCACCCUUUCUCCUCAUUUCCAUGGAUCCUUCAUCAGAAACAUGAUGGCAGCUUCAAACCGGCCCUCACCGGGCACACCUUCCUCCUGACCUUCAUACCGGGGUCACACUCGGUGUCUCAACUUAGACAUCUCAACCCCACCUCAAAGGUAGCACAGUGGUCCCUCAGGAUCCAUGGUGGAUUGGUUCCAGGGCCCACUGGAGAUAUCAAAAUCAGUGGAUGCUCGUAUCCUUUCCAUAAAAUGGCAGUUUCAGCACAGAACCCAUGCAAUCCUCCCAGACACUUCAAAGUCAUUUGUAGAUUACUUAUAAUCCCUAAUCCAAUGCAAACACUACACACCAGUUAUACUGCAUAAUGACAAGUGCAAAAUAAUGACAAGUACAAAAGUCUGUACAUGUUCACUACAGAUACAAAUUGGCUUUAGAAGUAAUCUGUUGGUUGAAUCCACAGAUACGGAAACCAAGGCUAGGAAUGGCUGACUAUAUAUUCAAUCUGAACCCAUUAUUCCUUCUCCCCACUGCCGAAAACUGUGUACUUCCCCUUCCACAUUUCUUGAGUCAUUGACUGAUUUCCAUCCAUCCAUCCACCCACCCAUCCAUUCACUUAUCUAUCUAUCCAUCCAUCCAUCUACCUAUCCAUCUAUGUAUCCAACAAUCUACCUAUCCAUCCAUCCACUUAUCCAUCCAUUUAUCCAUCCACCCAUCCAUCAUCUACCUACCCAUCCAUCCAUCCACCUAUCCAUCUAUCUAUCCAUCCAUCCAUCCAAUACCCAUCCCUCCAACAACCAUCUUCUAAACUUCUUCUCCAUGCUAAACAUUACGCUGAGUGCUAAGGGUACAGAGGUGACCAAACAGACACAUGUCUUCUGUAAGAGACAGUCCCC
Molecule: long non-coding RNA, 1210 nt
Filed under: Oryctolagus cuniculus (rabbit)
Lineage: Eukaryota; Metazoa; Chordata; Mammalia; Lagomorpha; Leporidae
Description: lncRNA (ENSOCUG00000032959.1)
Source: RNAcentral